GGAGGCAAACUUUCAAAUUCAAAAUUCAAAUAAAAAAGUUGAUAUAUCAUUUAUCUCUCCUCAUUCUUUCUUCUACCUUUAACUCUUCACUCUCUUGCUUUUUCUUAUUCAUAUUUUGUGGUAUUCUCCAUUCUACUAAAAUCCUUUUUUUUUGUGUUUUGUAGAAAAAAUAACAGGCAUUCAUCUCUAUCUAACAACAACAAGAAUAUACUCAUCUCAAUCCAACAACAACGCGAGUAAGUUCAUCUCUAUCUAAUGACAACAACAUGGGUAUGUAGAUGAAACUCAAUUUUCUUCAUUCUUUUUUCUAUCAUAUCAUAUUUAUGAUUUUUUUUCUUGAACUUCAUCACAACCGAAUAAAUAUCUGAAGAUCAAACACAUGUAUGAAGGUAUGAAAAUCAAACUCAUGUUUGUUAUCUUCCAAUUCUUUUUUGAACUUCAUUCUUUUAUUCUAUGUUAAAAUCUUUUUUCUAUGUUCUCUGAACUCAUAAAAAUAUUCUCUACUUUUAUUAAUAAAAAAAA
RNAcentral lists this long non-coding RNA (522 nucleotides) under Trifolium pratense (red clover). RNAcentral's name for it is "long non-coding RNA (TPRA_LNC007827)". Lineage: Eukaryota; Viridiplantae; Streptophyta; Magnoliopsida; Fabales; Fabaceae. The record is from RNAcentral.